This 162-nucleotide ribosomal RNA is filed under the name uncultured eukaryote. RNAcentral describes it as "partial 18S ribosomal RNA". It matches the Rfam family "Eukaryotic small subunit ribosomal RNA", at positions 1488 to 1650 of the family's 1831-position model. The record is from RNAcentral.
CGCAGCGCGCUACACUGACAGAUCCAACGAGUUAAUCACCUUGUCCGAAAGGUCUGGGUAAUCUUGUAAAACUCUGUCGUGCUGGGGAUAGAUCAUUGCAAUUAUUGCUCUUCAACGAGGAAUUCCUAGUAAGCACAAGUCAUCAGCUUGUGCUGAUUACGU